AUACGUAGGGGGCGAGCGUUGUCCGGAAUGAUUGGGCGUAAAGGGCGCGUAGGCGGCCUGUUAAGUCUGGAGUGAAAGUCCUGUUUUCAAGAUGGGAAUUGCUUUGGAUACUGUCGGGCUUGAGUGCAGGAGAGGUAAGUGGAAUUCCCAGUGUAGCGGUGAAAUGCGUAGAGAUUGGGAGGAACACCAGUGGCGAAGGCGACUUACUGGACUGUAACUGACGCUGAGGCGCGAAAGUGUGGGGAGCAAACAGGAUUAGAUACCCUGGUAGUCCACACUGUAAACGAUGAAUGCUAGGUGUAGGGGGUAUCGACCCCUUCUGUGCCGCAGUCAACACAAUAAGCAUUCCGCCUGGGGAGUACGGCCGCAAGGUUGAAACUCAAAGGAAUUGACGGGG
RNAcentral lists this ribosomal RNA (397 nucleotides) under uncultured bacterium. RNAcentral's name for it is "partial 16S ribosomal RNA". It matches the Rfam family "Bacterial small subunit ribosomal RNA", at positions 523 to 918 of the family's 1533-position model. The record is from RNAcentral.